Oxyura jamaicensis (ruddy duck) is the source of this 499-nucleotide long non-coding RNA. RefSeq lists it as uncharacterized. NCBI's taxonomy places the organism in Eukaryota, Metazoa, Chordata, Aves, Anseriformes, Anatidae. The transcript has 5 exons. The record is from RefSeq and is a predicted model, not a curated record.
CCCCCUCCCACUCUCGCGAGACUUGGCAGGCGCGCGGAGGCCACUCUCCCUUUUCCCGCGACGACAUGGCGGCCGCGCAGGGCUCGGUGGCAGCACGUUGUCGAGUAAGCAUAAAAAUGCACCUUGCACUCACCUUUCGGGGAGGCUGAUUCCUUCCCUCGGCAGCAGACCUGCACCAUCAGCACAUCGGAGGAAAACAUCCUGUAGAAUCCUGGGUUGUAUCUUCCCCCAAGGACGGCUUUGGCAAGAAGGCAGCUCUGAAGUCAGACGUCAAACUGGUGGCUGACAGCUGCGUUCUGCUGAACAUGGCCAUGCUUUACUUAACAGAACUCGCAUUUGUUUGCAGAUGAAUAAUGUUCGGUGACGGGCUGAACCGGCAGACUUGACAACAGCGGACUGCCUCAGGCCUUAGGUAAAGGACGUGCUCUACAGCUGGCUGGAGGAAGGAGGGGUUCCCUGCAGUCUUCUGUUCCAGAAUAAAACAAAAUCUUGAAACUGU